GUGGCUCAAGCGGUAGCAUGCUUGCCUGGCAUUCGUGCAACCCCGGGUUCAGUCCUCAGCACCACAUACAAACAAAGAUGUUGUGUCCGCCGAAAACUAAGAAAUAAAUAUUAAAAAAAAAAAAAAAAGAAUUUAGGCAUAAUCCAAGCUGUGUAGCAUCUAUAUAGUCAUCUCCAAAAAUAGGAAAAAUAACCACUCUCUUGGGCAGUAUAAAAUUCUUAAAGGAGUGGAAAGCCAACCCUUAAAAGUGAAGACUGACCGAAGGAAAAAUGUGUUUGCACAAAGUGUGUGACCUUCGGUUUAAGAAUUUUCAUAAAAAAUAUUCCAUUUAUGCAGCUUUACAAACACACUCAUAAUUUACAUAUCAAUCUGUUUUAAGCUUUGAAAGAAUACUUACCUGCAUCUGAUUGAUCAUGAAGCCAUUAAGGAGGGAUUAAAUGGGCUGUUGCUAUUCCCCAAUUUUACUUAGAUUCAUGCAUUUCAUCUAAAUCUGAGACAGAUAAGCUUGCAUUACUAAUUAACCACAGGAGUGAAAUUAUGCAUACUGUAAAAAUAUAAAUAUUAUCAUUAAAUGGUUGCAUUGCAAAAAAAAAAAAAGUAGGUAGAAAAUGGUGUAGGAAGAGACCAUAAU
This 631-nucleotide long non-coding RNA is filed under the name Marmota monax (woodchuck). Lineage: Eukaryota; Metazoa; Chordata; Mammalia; Rodentia; Sciuridae. The record is from RNAcentral.